UAAUACGGAGGGUGCGAGCGUUGUCCGGAAUCACUGGGCGUAAAGGGCGCGUAGGCGGCGCGGGAAGUCGGGGGUGAAAGUCCGGGGCUCAACCCCGGAUCGGCCUUCGAGACUCCCGCGCUGGAGCACAGUAGAGGCGGGUGGAAUUCCGGGUGUAGCGGUGGAAUGCGUAGAGAUCCGGAAGAACACCGGUGGCGAAGGCGGCCCGCUGGGCUGUGGCUGACGCUGAGGCGCGACAGCGUGGGGAGCAAACAGGAUUAGAUACCCUGGUAGUCCACGCCGUAAACGAUGGGCACUAGGUGCCUGGGGGAGCGACCCCCUGGGUGCCGGCGCUAACGCAUUAAGUGCCCCGCCUGGGGAGUACGGCCGCAAGGCUG
This 377-nucleotide ribosomal RNA is filed under the name uncultured bacterium. RNAcentral's name for it is "bacterial SSU rRNA". It matches the Rfam family "Bacterial small subunit ribosomal RNA", at positions 521 to 896 of the family's 1533-position model. The record is from RNAcentral.